This 466-nucleotide ribosomal RNA is filed under the name Vreelandella stevensii. RNAcentral describes it as "partial 16S ribosomal RNA". It matches the Rfam family "Bacterial small subunit ribosomal RNA", at positions 338 to 795 of the family's 1533-position model. Lineage: Bacteria; Pseudomonadati; Pseudomonadota; Gammaproteobacteria; Oceanospirillales; Halomonadaceae. The record is from RNAcentral.
CCUACGGCGGCGCAGCAGUGGGGAAUAUUGGACAAUGGGCGAAAGCCUGAUCCAGCCAUGCCGCGUGUGUGAAGAAGGCCUUCGGGUUGUAAAGCACUUUCAGUGGGGAAGAAAGCCUUGGGGCUAAUACCCUCGAGGAAGGACAUCACCCACAGAAGAAGCACCGGCUAACUCCGUGCCAGCAGCCGCGGUAAUACGGAGGGUGCGAGCGUUAAUCGGAAUUACUGGGCAUAAAGCGCGCGUAGGCGGUCUGAUAAGCCGGUUGUGAAAGCCCCGGGCUCAACCUGGGAACGGCAUCCGGAACUGUCAGGCUAGAGUGCAGGAGAGGAAGGUAGAAUUCCCGGUGUAGCGGUGAAAUGCGUAGAGAUCGGGAGGAAUACCAGUGGCGAAGGCGGCCUUCUGGACUGACACUGACGCUGAGGUGCGAAAGCGUGGGUAGCAAACAGGAUUAGAUACCCGAGUAGUC